AUUGAACGCUGGCGGCAUGCCUUACACAUGCAAGUCGAACGGCAGCACGGGAGCAAUCCUGGUGGCGAGUGGCGAACGGGUGAGUAAGUAUCGGAACGUGCCCAGUCGUGGGGGAUAACGUAGCGAAAGUUACGCUAAUACCGCAUACGAUCUAUGGAUGAAAGCGGGGGAUCGCAAGACCUCGCGCGGUUGGAGCGGCCGAUAUCAGAUUAGGUAGUUGGUGGGGUAAAGGCUCACCAAGCCGACGAUCUGUAGCUGGUCUGAGAGGACGACCAGCCACACUGGGACUGAGACACGGCCCAGACUCCUACGGGAGGCAGCAGUGGGGAAUUUUGGACAAUGGGCGAAAGCCUGGUCCAGCCAUGCCGCGUGCAGGAUGAAGGCCUUCGGGUUGUAAACUGCUUUUGUACGGGACGAAAAGGUUUGGCCUAAUAAGCUGAGCUCAUGACGGUACCGUAAGAAUAAGCACCGGCUAACUACGUGCCAGCAGCCGCGGUAA
RNAcentral lists this ribosomal RNA (499 nucleotides) under uncultured bacterium. RNAcentral's name for it is "partial 16S ribosomal RNA". It matches the Rfam family "Bacterial small subunit ribosomal RNA", at positions 30 to 523 of the family's 1533-position model. The record is from RNAcentral.